AAGCCGGCGCAGGCCUUCGCAAGAUGGCGGCUGGAGGCAAGAGCAGAAGCCUUCAGAGCGUUUUCUUUUUCCCUUUCCUCCCUUCCUGCAAACAAAGCGGCUACAGUUUACCUGGAAGUGACAAACUGAGGAAACUGAGGAACUGGAAGAUGAAGGCUACAGAGGUAGAAAGUGGUGGAAGAGAUACAUCCAGAAAACUGCAUUACAAUUUCAAAUCAAAGCUGGACAAGUUUUUUUUUUUUUUACACAGACAUCACCAUGUUAGAAAAGUUGGACAAGUUUUGAAACCAUUCUGAACCUAUCAUUCCUAUCUUUCAAAUCCUUCCAAGGCAUCUUAUUAUUGAUUUGUUUCUAUAUUUUCCUCAUUAUUAAAGAGGUUGAGUAUCUUUUCUCUAGAGCUAGUUUGGGUUCUGAUUUUCUUCACUUUCCUGAUGGAGUCAUUUUAGAAUUGAAGGGCAUCAUAGCAACUGAGGCAGUGUUAACAUCAUCAAUAUUUUAGGAUUACAGGUAACCAUAUUUCCUAGUUUGCUUGGGACAAGGCCAGUUUGUACCUCUUGUCCUAGCAUUUUUUUUUUUUUUUUUUGAGACAGAGUCUCGCUCUGUCGCCCAGGUUGGAGUGCAGUGGCAUGAUCUCAGCUCACUGCAACCUCCACCUCCCAGGUUCAAGUGAUCUUCCUGCCUCAGCCUCCCGAGUAGCUGGUAUUACAGGCACGCACCACCACGCCUGGCAAAUUUUUGUAUUUUUAGUAGACACGGGGUUUCGCCAUGUUGGCCAGUCUGGUAUCAAACUCCUGACCUCAAGUGAUCCCCCCGGCUCGGCCUCCCACGAUGAUGGGAUUACAGGCGUGAGUCACCGUGCCUGGCCCUAGUAUAUUUUAUAAUAGCAUUGCAUUCAAUCUCAAAAGUGUGGGAGUUUUGAUGAAAAAUUAUAUGGUGGUCAUUUAUUAUCUGAAAUACACAUCAAAAUACCACUAUUGCCAUUUUGCUCUGGUAUCUUCAUCAGUGGGUGCAGGAUUGUCAUGAAGGCGGGGGGCGGGGGGGUUGUUCUGCUUCCUUCUCUGUUGUGUCCCCAGAGCCCAGAACAGUGCCCAGCACCCAGUAAGUGCUUAAUGAAUAUGAAUGCAUCUGCACAUAAAUUCAUUUCUUGGGGCUUGGCACAUUGCCACUUGAACAAAUGGAUUCUAUUAACAAGGAGUAUGGAGCAAUGAUUUUGGGGUACACAACUCAUGGUGCCUGCCAAAACAUGCGCUUUAGAUUUUGAUAGAUAUUGUCAAGUUGUUCUCCACAGGGGUUGAGCCAGUUUACACUCCCACCAGCAAUAUGUGAGAGCAUCUGUUUCUCUAACCUUCACCCACAUGGUGUUAUCAAAAUUUUUAUCUGUGCCAAUCUGGUAGUUUAAAUUUGCAUUUUCCUUAUUAUGGAAAGAUAGAGCAUACUUUCAUAUGUUUAAAAGCCAUUUGAAAUUUCUAAGAACUGUCUGUUCAUAUCCUCUGCCCAUUUUUUUUUUUUUUCAGUGAAUUACUGGUCUUUUUCUUAUCAAUCUAUAGGAAUACAAAUAGUUGUUCCAAGGUUUUCAUGCCUUUUGAGUUUGUUUCUGGUGUUGUUAGUAAGCAGAAUUUAAAACAUGUAUUUAUAUUUAGCUUCUUUCCUUUUAUUGCAUCUAUAUUUUGCAUCAUGCUUAGAAAGGCUUUCCCAGAUUGUAAAAUAAUUCUCCCAUAUUUUCUUGUCUUACUUUCAAGUUUUCAUUUUUUUCACAUAUAAGUCUUGAUCUAUCUGAAAUUUAUUUUGGUGUAAGAUUUGAGAUAUGAAUAAAAUCUAAUACUGUUU
This 1827-nucleotide long non-coding RNA is filed under the name Pongo abelii (Sumatran orangutan). RNAcentral's name for it is "lincRNA". The record is from RNAcentral. Lineage: Eukaryota; Metazoa; Chordata; Mammalia; Primates; Hominidae.